Molecule: non-coding RNA, 136 nt
Organism: Hordeum vulgare subsp. vulgare (domesticated barley)
Lineage: Eukaryota; Viridiplantae; Streptophyta; Magnoliopsida; Poales; Poaceae
Source: Rfam
GAUGUACUCCCUCUGUCCCAAAAUUCUUGUCUUAGGUUUUCCUAGACAUGGAUGUAUAUAAAUACUAAAUCGUGACUAGAUACAUUCAUAUAUGGAUAAAUUUAAGACAAUUUUUUUGGAACGGAGGGAGUAGUAU